GUAGGGAGCGAGCGUUAUCCGGAUUUAUUGGGUGUAAAGGGUGCGUAGACGGGUAAGCAAGUUAGUUGUGACAUCCCUCGGCUUAACUGAGGAACUGCAACUAAAACUGCAUAUCUUGAGUACAGGAGAGGUAAGUGGAAUUCCUAGUGUAGCGGUGAAAUGCGUAGAUAUUAGGAGGAACACCAGUGGCGAAGGCGACUUACUGGACUGAAACUGACGUUGAGGCACGAAAGUGUGGGGAGCAA
RNAcentral lists this ribosomal RNA (245 nucleotides) under uncultured bacterium. RNAcentral describes it as "partial 16S ribosomal RNA". It matches the Rfam family "Bacterial small subunit ribosomal RNA", at positions 527 to 771 of the family's 1533-position model. The record is from RNAcentral.